CUCGCUCUCAUUUUGGUAACAAUGGAAGUGUUUAAAGAAACAAAUCCCUGCUUAAUUUGUCGACCUCCUAUUGGGCUGCACCUCCUAGAGGCCAUUAGGCCUCAUCCCAGUUACUUCGGUAACAAACAGAAAGAGGCCCAACCGAUGCCGAAAUCCAAAGAAAAAUAGACACUCGACACAGAAUAAGAACCAUGGCCUGGACCUACUACCUUCUCCAGACUUCCUGAGACCAACAUUACAGAUCACCGUUUGACCCUAUUCUGCCAUGACAUCGUUUCUUCAUCAAAGGACACCUGUGCUUUUGUGAUAUGUUUAUG
Homo sapiens (human) is the source of this 317-nucleotide long non-coding RNA. RefSeq lists it as uncharacterized. The record is from RefSeq and is a predicted model, not a curated record. NCBI's taxonomy places the organism in Eukaryota, Metazoa, Chordata, Mammalia, Primates, Hominidae. The transcript has 3 exons.